This 591-nucleotide ribosomal RNA is filed under the name uncultured bacterium FukuS12. RNAcentral describes it as "bacterial SSU rRNA". It matches the Rfam family "Bacterial small subunit ribosomal RNA", at positions 8 to 593 of the family's 1533-position model. The record is from RNAcentral. Lineage: Bacteria; Pseudomonadati; Pseudomonadota; Betaproteobacteria.
AGAGUUUGAUCAUGGCUCAGAUUGAACGCUGGCGGCAUGCCUUACACAUGCAAGUCGAACGGCAGCACGGGUACUUGUACCUGGUGGCGAGUGGCGAACGGGUGAGUAAUACAUCGGAACGUACCUUAUCGCGGGGGAUAACGCAGCGAAAGCUGUGCUAAUACCGCAUACGCCCUGAGGGGGAAAGCGGGGGAUCGAAAGACCUCGCGCGAUUAGAGCGGCCGAUGCUUGAUUAGCUUGUUGGUGGGGUAAAAGCCCACCAAGGCGACGAUCAAUAGCUGGUCUGAGAGGACGAUCAGCCACACUGGGACUGAGACACGGCCCAGACUCCUACGGGAGGCAGCAGUGGGGAAUUUUGGACAAUGGGGGCAACCCUGAUCCAGCAAUGCCGCGUGAGUGAAGAAGGCCUUCGGGUUGUAAAGCUCUUUUGUCAGGGAAGAAACACCGGCUCUAACACAGUCCGGGAAUGACGGNACCUGAAGAAUAAGCACCGGCUAACUACGUGCCAGCAGCCGCGGUAAUACGUASGGUGCAAGCGUUAAUCGGAAUUACUGGGCGUAAAGCGUGCGCAGGCGGUUAUACAAGACAGGC